RNAcentral lists this ribosomal RNA (380 nucleotides) under uncultured cyanobacterium. Its description in RNAcentral is "bacterial SSU rRNA". It matches the Rfam family "Bacterial small subunit ribosomal RNA", at positions 376 to 770 of the family's 1533-position model. Lineage: Bacteria; Bacillati; Cyanobacteriota. The record is from RNAcentral.
CGCAAGCCUGACGGAGCAAGACCGCGUGGGGGAGGAAUGCCUUAGGGUUGUAAACCCCUUUUAUCUGGGAAGAACAAAAUGACGGUACCAGAUGAAUAAGCCUCGGCUAACUCCGUGCCAGCAGCCGCGGUAAUACGGAGGAGGCAAGCGUUAUCCGGAUUUAUUGGGCGUAAAGCGUCCGCAGGUGGCAAUGUAAGUCUGCUGUCAAAACCCAGGGCUCAACUCUGGUCAGGCAGUGGAAACUACAUAGCUAGAGUGCGGUAGGGGCAAAGGGAAUUCCCGGUGUAGCGGUGAAAUGCGUAGAGAUCGGGAAGAACAUCGGUGGCGAAAGCGCUCUGCUGGGCCGCAACUGACACUCAGGGACGAAAGCUAGGGGAGCG